CGCUUAUCAUCAUGUUAUUACUCAAAUUAUUGAAUCUCAUUUUGUCUCUGAUAAUUUUUUGCUUUAUCAUGAAAAAUAGCACCCCCCCUGCACCCCUCCUGGCCAGGGAGGAAUUGUGAAUUUUUAGGGAUUUUUGUGAAUUUUUAUAAAGAAUGACAAUAUAGAUAUACGUUUGUUGGUUUAAAAAAGCAUUUUUACACACAUGCGGUACACUGUAAUAUACCAAUAAAUUAAAUAUCAUUUGUAUAUAUUAAACAUAAGUUUUCUUUUUAAUAAGUUAAACAUUUUGUACGAGUCUAUAUCCAAUAUGUUACACUUUCAGCCCCUGACGUAAAAACUUGCAUUAUUUUUGAAUGAUCUGAUGCAGAUAUUACUUUCAGAUCUAUUCGGACACUGAAGACCACAACAAAAAAUUCGACACUGUUUGAUUUCAUGUAACGUGAAAUCUAUAAAAGCUAUUGCAAUGAAGUAAAGAUCAUUGCAUUCAGAAAGGACUAACUUAGAUUUUGAUAUAUAGCGCUUGAAUUUACAUGCAAUAUUGACUGCGCUAUUGAUGUCUGAACGUUGAUCUAAUGUUUUUGAAAAUGCCAAAAAUUAGCAUAAAACAACCUUAUAAAUACCGAUGUAGUUAUACUUGUUAAAUAAUAUUUUUAUUUUGGUUGUCUCUCGUUCAAUAUUGCAUGUAAAUUCAAGUGUUAUAUAUCAAAAUCUAAGUUGGUCCUUUCUGAAUGCAAUGAUCAGGCUAUUAGCCAGAAGGGCGUCCAGGCGUCCUGGGACGCCCCUAGAACGAAAAAUGGACGCCUUUGGACGCCCAAAUUCUUGGAGAAAAGGGAAAUUAUUUUCAAUUAUUUCCCUAAGCAUAUUAAUAUAUCUGAAUCGAAAUAGCUUCAAUUCUCAUUGUUAUUAUUAUACAUUUGACAUUUUUAUCAAUUUGAUGGUGUACCUGGCUGAAUGAAAAUGUCGUAGUUAAGUAAAGAAGCAUAGCGGCACAAACUCACAAAGCCAAGUGUGUUUUAUAAAUUUCGAACGAGCUUGGAACAGAUACUGACAUGAAGUAACGUAAACUUCAAAGGCUUUCCAGAUGAAUGUUUUCUCGAACCCCCCCCCCCCCCCCCCCC
Molecule: non-coding RNA, 1118 nt
Organism: Paramuricea clavata
Lineage: Eukaryota; Metazoa; Cnidaria; Anthozoa; Malacalcyonacea; Plexauridae
Source: the annotation of a GenBank genome assembly